This 253-nucleotide ribosomal RNA is filed under the name uncultured bacterium. Its description in RNAcentral is "partial 16S ribosomal RNA". It matches the Rfam family "Bacterial small subunit ribosomal RNA", at positions 524 to 776 of the family's 1533-position model. The record is from RNAcentral.
UACGGAGGAUCCAAGCGUUAUCCGGAAUCAUUGGGUUUAAAGGGUCCGUAGGCGGUUUUGUAAGUCAGUGGGGAAAGCCCAUCGCUCAACGGUGGAACGGCCAUUGAUACUGCAAGACUUGAAUUAUUGGGAAGUAACUAGAAUAUGUAGUGUAGCGGUGAAAUGCUUAGAGAUUACAUGGAAUACCAAUUGCGAAGGCAGGUUACUACCAAUAUAUUGACGCUGAUGGACGAAAGCGUGGGGAGCGAACAGG